RNAcentral lists this ribosomal RNA (490 nucleotides) under uncultured bacterium. RNAcentral describes it as "partial 16S ribosomal RNA". It matches the Rfam family "Bacterial small subunit ribosomal RNA", at positions 30 to 507 of the family's 1533-position model. The record is from RNAcentral.
AUUGAACGCUGGCGGCAUGCCUUACACAUGCAAGUCGAACGGCAGCAUGAUCUAGCUUGCUCGAUUGAUGGCGAGUGGCGAACGGGUGAGUAAUACAUCGGAACGUGCCCUGUCGUGGGGGAUAACUAGUCGAAAGAUUAGCUAAUACCGCAUACGACCUGAGGGUGAAAGUGGGGGACCGCAAGGCCUCAUGCUAUAGGAGCGGCCGAUGUCUGAUUAGCUAGUUGGUGAGGUAAAGGCUCACCAAGGCGACGAUCAGUAGCUGGUCUGAGAGGACGAUCAGCCACAAUGGGACUGAGACACGGCCCAGACUCCUACGGGAGGCAGCAGUGGGGAAUUUUGGACAAUGGGCGAAAGCCUGAUCCAGCAAUGCCGCGUGUGGGAAGAAGGCCUUCGGGUUGUAAAGCACUUUUGUCCGGAAAGAAAUGGCUCUGGUUAAUACCUGGGGUCGAUGACGGUACCGGAAGAAUAAGGACCGGCUAACUACGUG